RNAcentral lists this ribosomal RNA (253 nucleotides) under uncultured bacterium. Its description in RNAcentral is "partial 16S ribosomal RNA". It matches the Rfam family "Bacterial small subunit ribosomal RNA", at positions 524 to 776 of the family's 1533-position model. The record is from RNAcentral.
UACGUAGGGUGCAAGCGUUAAUCGGAAUUACUGGGCGUAAAGCGUGCGCAGGCGACUAUGCAAGACAGAUGUGAAAUCCCCGGGCUCAACCUGGGAAUGGCAUUUGGGACUGCAAGGCUGGAGUGCGGCAGAGGAGACUGGAAUUCCUGGUGUAGCAGUGAAAUGCGUAGAUAUCAGGAGGAAUACCGAUGGCGAAGGCAGGUCUCUGGGCUGACACUGACGCUCAUGCACGAAAGCGUGGGGAGCAAACAGG